This 462-nucleotide ribosomal RNA is filed under the name uncultured bacterium. RNAcentral describes it as "partial 16S ribosomal RNA". It matches the Rfam family "Bacterial small subunit ribosomal RNA", at positions 28 to 507 of the family's 1533-position model. The record is from RNAcentral.
GACGAACGCUGGCGGCGUGCUUAACACAUGCAAGUCGAACGGAAAGGCCCUUCGGGGUACUCGAGUGGCGAACGGGUGAGUAACACGUGGGUGAUCUGCCCUGCACUUUGGGAUAAGCCUGGGAAACUGGGUCUAAUACCGAAUAGGACCACGCGCUUCAUGGUGUGUGGCGGAAAGCUUUUGCGGUGUGGGAUGGGCCCGCGGCCUAUCAGCUUGUUGGUGGGGUAAUGGCCCACCAAGGCGACGACGGGUAGCCGGCCUGAGAGGGUGACCGGCCACACUGGGACUGAGAUACGGCCCAGACUCCUACGGGAGGCAGCAGUGGGGAAUAUUGCACAAUGGGCGCAAGCCUGAUGCAGCGACGCCGCGUGAGGGAUGACGGCCUUCGGGUUGUAAACCUCUUUCAAUAGGGACGAAGCGCAAGUGACGGUACCUAUAGAAGAAGCACCGGCCAACUACGUG